UGCCUGUUGAUUUUAAUUCUAUAACAGGUAAGUCCUGCCCAGUGAAUAUCUUAAACGGCCGCGGUAUCCUGACCGUGCAAAGGUAGCAUAAUCAUUUGCCUUCUAAUUAGAGGCUCGUAUGAACGGAUAGACGAAAAAUUCCCUGUCUCCUUUAUAUUCUUAUAAAUUAACCCUUAGGUGAAGAGGCCUAAAUCUACUUAAAAGACAAGAAGACCCUGCUGAGCUUUAACUUAAACGGAACUUUUCCUUCCAAAGCCCAUUCUCCCUUUAGUUUUGUUGGGGCGACAAGGGAGCAAAAAAAACCUCCCCACCAAAGAAGAUCCCCAUUCUACUAAAUGACCCAUUUUUUGAUCCAAGAUAUUAGCUACCACAGGGAUAACAGACUAAUUUUCCUUAAGAGUCCACAUUUACAGGAAAGUUUGGCACCUCGAUGUUGGCUUAGGAACCCUUCUAAAUGCAGCCGUUUAAAAAGGGGGUUUGUUCAACCCUUAAUCU
Molecule: ribosomal RNA, 495 nt
Filed under: Paradiopatra quadricuspis
Lineage: Eukaryota; Metazoa; Annelida; Polychaeta; Eunicida; Onuphidae
Description: partial 16S ribosomal RNA
Rfam family: Bacterial large subunit ribosomal RNA
Source: RNAcentral